Molecule: ribosomal RNA, 496 nt
Filed under: uncultured bacterium
Lineage: Bacteria
Description: bacterial SSU rRNA
Rfam family: Bacterial small subunit ribosomal RNA
Source: RNAcentral
GAUCCUGGCUCAGGAUGAACGCUGGCGGCGUGCUUAACACAUGCAAGUCGAACGAAGCACUUAAUGAGAUUUCUUCGGACUGAUUAUUUUGUGACUGAGUGGCGGACGGGUGAGUAACGCGUGGGUAACCUGCCCCAGACCGGGGGAUAACAGUCGGAAACGACUGCUAAUACCGCAUAAGCGCACGGUGUCGCAUGACACAGUGUGAAAACACUCCGGUGGUAUGAGAUGGACCCGCGUCUGAUUAGCUAGUUGGUGAGGUAAACGGCCCACCAAGGCGACGAUCAGUAGCCGGCCUGAGAGGGUGAACGGCCACAUUGGGACUGAGACACGGCCCAAACUCCUACGGGAGGCAGCAGUGGGGAAUAUUGCACAAUGGGGGAAACCCUGAUGCAGCGACGCCGCGUGAGCGAAGAAGUAUUUCGGUAUGUAAAGCUCUAUCAGCAAGGAAGAAAAAAUGACGGUACCUGACUAAGAAGCCCCGGCUAACUACGUG